This 809-nucleotide ribosomal RNA is filed under the name Byssoloma sp. WW-2020a. RNAcentral's name for it is "SSU rRNA". It matches the Rfam family "Bacterial small subunit ribosomal RNA", at positions 353 to 1198 of the family's 1533-position model. The record is from RNAcentral. Lineage: Eukaryota; Fungi; Ascomycota; Lecanoromycetes; Lecanorales; Pilocarpaceae.
UUGGAGGAAUGUAUAGUGAAAGCUAGUAAGAUUGGGAAAAAGUCCAAUUGUAACAUCGAUUUACUCGAAUAAAGUUCUGUGUGAAAUUUGAUAAUGACAAUUUUUGCUCAUGAGUCUUGACUAAAUUACGUGCCAGCAGUCGCGGUAAUACGUAGAAGACAAGUGUUAUUCAUCACUAAUAGGUUUAAAGGGUACCUAGACAGUAAACCAAGCUUUAUUAGAAAGUAAAAGGACUAGUUUGCUAGAGUUACUUAUGAGGGGGCUCUUAGGUACUAAUGAAAGUGUAGAGAUGAAAUUCUUUGAUACCUCCGUUUGAGAGAAUGAAACAAGGCACAGACAAAGGCGAAAGCCUCUCCUUAUGUUAUAACUGACGUUGAGGGACGAAGGCUCCGAAUAAUCAAUAGGAUUAGUUACCCAGGUAAUUGGUAGCAGACAAUGAUGAGUGUCAUAGAUUGGAAAACUAUUUUAUCUAUAAGUGAUAGCGCAAGCACUCCACCUCAAGAGUAAUUUGGCAACAUUGGAACUGAAAUCAUUAGACCGUUUCUGAAACCAGUAGUGAAGUAUGUUAUUUAAUUUGAUGAUCCACAAAGAACCUUACCACAGUUUACUUAGAGUUUAUACUCUGAUGUUGAGACACAUGAAUAUUUAUAUUUUAUAUAAGUACAAGCGUUGCACGGCUGUCUUCAGUUAAUGUCGUGAGACUCUGGCUAGCACCAUAAAAUUAACGUAAACCCUUACUUUAUUUUCAAAGAUAAAGUUGUUCUCCGCUAAUUGGAUAAGAUAACAGGGACUAAGACAAGUCAUCAUGG